Molecule: transfer RNA, 74 nt
Filed under: Weissella soli
Lineage: Bacteria; Bacillati; Bacillota; Bacilli; Lactobacillales; Lactobacillaceae
Also listed under: 1 other name
Description: tRNA-Arg
Rfam family: tRNA
About the family: Transfer RNA (tRNA) molecules are approximately 80 nucleotides in length. Their secondary structure includes four short double-helical elements and three loops (D, anti-codon, and T loops). Further hydrogen bonds mediate the characteristic L-shaped molecular structure. tRNAs have two regions of fundamental functional importance: the anti-codon, which is responsible for specific mRNA codon recognition, and the 3' end, to which the tRNAs corresponding amino acid is attached (by aminoacyl-tRNA synthetases). tRNAs cope with the degeneracy of the genetic code in two manners: having more than one tRNA (with a specific anti-codon) for a particular amino acid; and 'wobble' base-pairing, i.e. permitting non-standard base-pairing at the 3rd anti-codon position.
Source: RNAcentral
UGCCCCUGUAGCAUAAUGGAUAGUGCAAAGGAGUUCUAACCCUGGGAUGGGGGUUCAAUUCCCUCCAGGGGCAU